This is a non-coding RNA of Coturnix japonica (Japanese quail), 18748 nucleotides long. The record is from RefSeq and is a predicted model, not a curated record. Lineage: Eukaryota; Metazoa; Chordata; Aves; Galliformes; Phasianidae.
UUGUUUCCAUUCUUAUUCUUUUCAUGUGUUUAAAUCUGUGCAUUUCCAAAUAAGGUCUCUGUUACUCACUCCUUGAACCUUAAUGCUUUCUGUAGCACUGAACAGUGACAGAGUUAUGUGAACCUCUCUGCCUCACUGGGCACAUUUGUUCCCUCAGAAAUCAACACAGCAUCCAUAGACACUGACAUCUGAGACAGCCCUGGUGCUCUGCAUAGCACUGAGUUUCUCUUUAGACUACGUGGAUUGCACAGGGUGCCUCGCAAGGAACCACAGAGCAGGAAAGCAGGUCCUCAAGAAAGGUGAACCCCUAAUUGGAAAACACAGGCUCUCAUGUGCUGCUUUUUUUGCUGUCAUCUCAACCAGGUUUGGUUCAGGACCAGGUGAAGUUUAUUUCCCAGAUCAGCUCGGUAGGUUAAAUGUGGGCACCUGGUGCUGCUUAAAUACUGAGCCUUACAGGAGAGCUGCCUGUGCUUUUCAUUAGGUGGAUGCUGGAGAUUUCAGCUGGAUCUUCUCUAUACCAGAGCCAGGAGAUUGAGCUGCUGCUUUCAGGAACCUGUGGCAGGAAAACUGCUGUGAAAACUCAACCAGCUGCUGGAGCCUUUUCCAGGGUGCCCAAAGAUCUGGAAAGCCCAGACGAAGAGCCCAUAUCAACAAACAGCUUCUUGAAGCACCAGCACUUCUACUGGAUCAUCUCCCUGUUUGUGUGCUGGGAUGACAACGUGAUCAAAAAGAGCUUUAAGUACUGGGAAGCUGCAAUGAAAGAUCACAUAGACAACAACCCGUCAGUGGUGUGGUUGCCCAGUGGAAGUGAAAGCUGCCAACCUGACGUGCACAAAGCAGCUUCAGCAUAAGAUGAGCAGGUUACAAAGGACUCGUGUGAACUGCAAUGGAGCUCCAUGCAACAAGGGGAUGGCAAGGACAGCAGCAAGCCGCGCUGCAGGGAUUCUUGGAGUAGGAGGAAGGUUGUCUGGGCUUCCCCAGCUCUAUGAGUAAGGUCCCAGUGAGGUGUUCUUGGCAGGACAGAGGAAAUACAAACCUCUUCUGUAUGGAUCCUGUUCAAAGUGUGUUUGCUGAACAGUUCUUCCCAGCAGCAGCGAUUCUCAGUAACACCCACGCCUGGGAGCAGAACUAGAUCUGCUGGAAAGAUUUUGGAAGUACACUAAGCCUGACUGUAACUUGCUGCUGCUUGGUGCCGUGGCUCAUAGCCCUCUAAGCAAUGUGCUCCAGGGUAGUGUGGGAUUAACAUCUGAGAGGCUGAGAUGAUCUCCCUGUAGAUCCUGACUUCACUCUGAACCUGACCCAUUUCAGUCUGAACAUCUCUGGUGUUUUGCAGGUUGGUGCCUCCAGCCCCCACUGAUUUCUUUUGUUCUUGGAGCUGCAGGUUCAUGUAAGUAUGUUUCUAUGUUAAAUAUGGGUAGGGAAGGAGCAGGAAUGUCCUUCAGUCCAGAACAUCUCUGGUAACAGAGCAAAAAUGGAUCCCUUCAACCUUGGUUUCAAAGGUAUCUUAACUUGCUUUCUAAACUUAUCUCCAGACUUUCCAGCUCCGUUUUAGGAAACCUAAAAGUCAUCACUAUGAUUUCUACCAUGUCCCAAACAGGUGAGCAAAAUGGUGUGAGCUCAGGUACGGUGAUUGGGAUCAGCCAGUUCAAAAGGCACCCUAUGGGAGGUGACGUGAUAACACAUCAUUCUACAAAAGGUUUUGAUCUCCUGGUGCAGACACAAGGAGGAGGGUGAGCAAGACCUGUGUUCAGAGGUCACUUUGGUUUUUGAGAGAGGAAACAGCUCGUUUCUGAUGGGAAGUAUUUUAGAUUUCACUUGCUUUCUACUGCUGUCUGCUUCCCAGCUCAGACAACUGUUCUGUUCUUCAGCGUGCUUGCCCAGAGCUGUUGUAUACGACAGUUAAACAGUGUUUAAACAGCCAUGAGCCUGUUUAUUUACUGAGGCUAUAAAUUAUCUUGAAAUCGGAAUUCAUCAUACUGCAAAUGCCAUGUUUCAACAAGCAAGCUGGCACUCUGCUAGAAUUGCAAUCUAAUAGCCCUCCUCGCUGCUCUGCCAAGUUGCUGUCAAGGGCAAGUGUCCUUGCAUGGGUAAUUGCUGCCUUACAGAGAAUCCUGGUAUACUCAGAGUUGAUGCCUUUGAGUUUAUCUGCUGGUGUAUUGGGGAAUACUGCAGUAAGUGCAGGUCUCUGAUGGCUGAACCGUGCUUCAGAGUGAACUCAUGCUUGCCAGGGUUUGCCAUUAAAUGAAUGGGCUAUCCAGUAUCUUCCAGGCAUCAGCAGAAGUUGUUUCCAAGGUGUGUGAGAGGCUGAUGAUAAUCAAGGAGCCAGUGGGAUUUUCUUCCUCUCCCAGCCGGUAGAAGGUAACUGUUCCUGGAGCAGGUGGCUCUUAAACAGCAAAGCCAAUAGUAUCCUGUACUGUGCUGCUGGGUAUAUUUCUUUGACUGUAUUAGUUCUCCUGAAGCCACUGAUAUCGUGAAGAACUGAAAGGAUCUGUCUGAAAACACUUGAGCACGACACUUGUGCUAUACAAAGUGUGAAUCUAUUGUCAGGUAACGUUGGUCUGAAGUGUUUCAUCUUGGAGAUUCAACCAGUCAAUAUUAACAGCCAUCAAAAGCAGCUGCUGUUGCACAGUUCUUCUAGUAGAUGCUAUUUCUGGUCCUGUUAACAGCUGCUCCUCACUGCAAAGUGAGUGUGGACCUGGUGGUCCAGAUCCUGACUGUUGUUGCAUGAGUUGUGUUGGUUGGGUUGGCUCAUUCUGUGGCAGGUUGAGAGCAACAGCCGGUCAUCUCACUUACCUGCUCUGUGCUGUGUAAAUUAUUGCAUUCACAGUUCUGGAACCACACGGACUGGAGAUGGGAAAGAUCUGAGGUCAUCCAACUUCUCCAUUCCCCCCACAAUAGGGAAGGCUUGUUCCCUUCCACUGGAUUUUCCUGUACUUGGUCCAGUUUUAAGUGACUCAAGCAUUAGAGCUUUUCUUUUUCUGCUCCCUUGGGAGGCCUGGUGGAUUUCUCACUCUGAGAAAUGUUUUCCUCAUUCUCCACCUGAUUCUGUUCCUCUCUCGGAUUCCACAUUGCAGAUUCCACAGUGGAAGAGAACAUAAGGCUGUGGUGGGUUAAUGCUCAUAGUGUUAUUGGAGAACUGGUUAACUCUUUUGGUGUCACUUUGAUUGUCCUGAAACAAAAAGGAUGUUCCCUUUGGAUGGGAAAACAUCGAGAUGAGUGUCUCUAAGCCUGGUAAGCAUUGAUAGUUUGGGCAGUAUGGGCACCAAGACCUGCUGGUCCUCCUGGAAAUUAGAUGUUUGUGGAAAGAUUUCUUCUAUAGAGCAUAAGCACGCCUCCAAAUGGGAGAUUACCACCCUUGGAAUGUUGAACUAAAUGGCAAACUGAACAUAUGGUAAUGGCUGUUCUUUACUUCUGGCUUUGCUUGUGCCUAGCACUUAGUUGAGAAGCUUGCUUUUCCUUAACAAGCAUAGGAUUGCUAUUAUAGCAUGGAUAUUAUAGCAAUAGCAUGGAUUGCUUUCUUUGCUUUAUCCUGCCUGUGCUGCCAAUGCUGUGCAACCAGUGGCUCAGCUAAUGCUGAAGUAGCUCUUAAAAUAUCAUCUGCUAAAUAGAUGGGUUGUGAUGGGAUAAAGCAUCUUCCAUGAAGGAUGAGUGGGAUCAGGCCUUGGAGACGCUGUCAAAUGGGAGCCAGUAUGAGAAGAGGCAAGUAAAUAUUUAACAUGUGGUUGUGCAAGGGACAAGACUGGAAUAAAACGUAAUAAUGGCAGAGAUGUUAAGGGUGGGGUGGGCACUUGGUAGGGGUUGAGAGGUCUGUGGUAGCGUAGUGCAUCAUUUGAUGGGGAGCUUUGUUUUUUGUCAGGAAUCACCUGAGAGGCUGCUUUGUGCAUCACCCUAAUUGAGCAGAAGGCUCCGUGACACAUUCUCUGCUGUGGUUUGACCAGAGGAAUGUUUGUUAAUGCAGUGCACGCUGCUGAGAUCACCCUUCUGGCAAAUGCCUGCUGUGGUAUGAGACCCAGUCAUCUGGCAGCACAUUGCUUACUGCAGUCUCCAAGGCAACCCUCCAUGCUGUUCUUCUUUGGAAGCUCUGCGCAUUCGUAAAGAAGCUGUCAUCCCUCUUACUGUAAGUGCAGCAGAUGUGAAAGAUUUUACCUGUGCCAAUGAGCCCCAGAGCAGGAUGCUGUUGCUCAGAGGGGCAGUGCUGCAUUAGGUAUAAUGCUCCUCUCUGAAGGGCUCCGUCUGUCCACUCGUGGCAUUACAAAAUGUCUCCUGCUUUGUGCUCUGUGCCUUUUAAUGUGUCUGUAGCCAACAGCGUUUGCACAAAGAGGCUGAGCUGCCACCAGGAUCACAGAAGAUCUCUUCUGAGUCACAGCUUUGCAGUGCUGACAGCUGCCACAAUAAGAAUUCAUUUCGGAAGGCUGGUCCCAAGGUGGAUUUAAUGGUCCUGCACUAAAAUGUGAAUACUUCUGGUGUGGAAACAACUGCAGUGUGGACCCUGGUGUUUCAUAGAGGCUUCUUUGUUUCUUCUGAGCUGCCAAUUGCAUUGAUAAGGAAGAACAGCCAUCUUCUCUGCUAUGGAUGCUGAACCUGACAGUUCAGAGGGGCAUUUAUUUGCCUCCAGUGCCCCAUCAGAAGCCCUGUGGGAGGCUGCAAAUCAAAUAGGGUGGAUAUCUUCUCUUCUGUAACCCUGGUACAUGCUUAGCACUAGUAAAUAGAAAUCGACUUGUCAGUGUUAUGCUGGCCAAUGCUAAAACUCAGUCUGGAACUGUAAGGCCUCAGGUUUAUGUUCUGUCUCCUCUCAUGUUUGUUUUUCUGACUGAUCUGAUGGUUGUGCAGAAAUCAAGGCCUGGCGCUUUCUUUCUGCAAGGGUAUUGCGAUUCUUUAGGGGUGAGCAAGGGAAAAACUCUAUGUCCUUUGUGUGGAAGGAACCACAGCUCCUUGCCUCCCUUGGUAGGUGAUGUGUAGUCCUGGACCAGAAGAAUUGAUCCAUCUUCAAAAUGGCAUCUGACUCUAUUUCUGGUUUGUUUGUUUUUAGGGUCGUCAACAUACAGCAAGAGUCUCUCCUCUUUUUGGAGGAAGCCCAAGCUGCCAUCUCAGAAGGGUGGCUGAACCAAAUAACAGCUGACAUUAAAACAAGGAGAUGAGUCCUGUUCUGCCCAGUGCACCCAUGAUCUGAGGAGCCCAAGUCCAGGAGCAUCAGCUGGGCUGGAGCUGCUGAGCAUAGAAACUGAGGAGGACCAAGGUAUUUGCAAACUGGAGGAUUCAUGCUGGGGACACAAAUCAGCAAGCAGGCAGUGGCAUGGGAAGUGGGUCCCUCUGCUGGUACAGAAGUGAUUGCAGGGCAUUAAUACAAAUCCUAAUACAGGUGAAGGUGAUGCUGGAGUCGUAUUAAUGUUUUCAGCUCUUGUCCCAACCGCUCCAAGCUCUGCCUUGCCAAACCCACGAGACCACAAACACGACUCAUCUCGAGUUAUAGGCGCAGUAAACACAUCCAAAGCAAUGCCAAGUAAUUCAGGGCAGAUGAUGCUUCGUGCAGGGCCUGUCCUGCUGAUAGCUGAGAAUGAGCACUCAUUUGUGCUGUCUCGAGGUGAGGAAUGGCUGGUGGGUCUCCAUCUCUCUGAUGCUGUGUUUGUUUCUUGACCAGUAGGACUGGACAGAGGGUCUGCACAGAGGUAGGAGAACCUGCAGGACCCACAGGAGUGGCUGUGGGGAGAGGGGAGGGGAAUGUCUGGGCAGCUCAAGCUCCCACAGGGAGCUGAGUGGCUUGUUCUGGUCCAGCCUAAGCAUCUCUCUUCCAAAUGCAAGAAUGAGAGCAUGGCCAGAACAGAGCACUGCAGCUGUGGCACCCUGGCACCCAGCCCAGGUCUGCCCAUGUGGAGAAAUGAGGCACAGACCCUCCCCUAUGAGCCCCAGCAGCUGUGCUUCUGGCACACUAUGGCCAAUGCAGCACCUUGGCAGCCCUGUCUGCCUGCAGCACUCUGGUGAGACUACGAAGCAGUUAAAAUCCUUUUAAAAUCCUUCUGUCCCCUGGACAAAGAAGCUGGCAGCAAUGGAGAGCAGCUGCAUGCAGCACAAAUCCAUCUGCACCCACAACCAGGCUGGACUUUGGAUUUGAGGAAUGGGCUUGUUUUCCUGGCCAUAGGAAGCAGUGUGGCUGAGCAUGCAGAGCAGUCCCUGUGCCAGCCAUAGAAGAACCUGCAGCAGUGCUGUCCCUGUGUUUCCAUGUAGGAAGCACAGCACGAAGGAGCUGAGCUGUGCCUCUCUGCAUUGGAAUGGAGCCUGAGGAUGCCCAAAGCAGCACAUAAGGAGCCAAGCUGUGAACACCCCUCUCUGCCCCUGGAUUCUGCCUGCAAGGAACUCAUUGCUGUAUGCUGGGUCCUGCACAACGCAGCCACCUCAGUGCAAUGGGAACGGCGGUGCUGGCUUCCAAGGAGCAACCUGAGGCAUAACGAGAAGGUAAUUCCUCUCUCCCUGCUCUCUGUGGCAGGGUUUUGCCUUUCCAGGUUUCCCUCCAUUUGAGGCCACGUUUCAGCCCUGCUUCAACCCUCAGCAUCGCACCAACAGAAGCCGGGCCCAGGAUUGCUGACCCAGAGCAGCUGAGAUCCACGGAGAAGAGAGAAGCAGCUUCAUCCCCUCCCUCAUCACUGAAGACCAGACAGAAGAUGACAAUUAAUUGAUUACAGAAUUAAUGCAAUGAGAGAGAAUAGAUGAUGAGAGCAUGGAACCUGAACCUCUCCCUCCCGCUUGCUUCUAAAAACACUAAGUGUUUUUUCUUUUUUUUUUUUUUUAAUUUUUUUUUUUUUUUAAAGUUUGAUUAUUUUUUUUUUUUUAUUAUUCCCUGUUGACUGACUGUCCAUUCAGGUUCGCUGUGGGACCUGCACCUGCUUAACUCAUAAAAGAGGGACAAAAAAUCAAUGUGUGGAUGGAAGGAAUUAAUUCCUAAGCUGAGAUGGGGGGGUUUGGGAGGGUGAAGUAACAAAUGGCUGCGCUCAGCCAACAGCCCAAGGCUGGGAGUCUCAGCUGCAGUGAGGUAGAGGCUCACAAUUGGAGGCAGCGCCUCAGAGCCAGCGUUGUCCCCCCCCCCCCCGGUGUUUUGCAGGUGAUGGUUGUGUCUGAGGGUUGAGCCCAUCCCUAGAGCCCCGUCUGCUCCUUGACCCACGUCCGCAGUGCUGUCAGCCGGCUGUACACUCCAGGCUUGUUUCUCUGUGCGCAGCCAUCACCCCAGCUCACAACGCCAGCCAGGAACAUCCGCCCGCUGUCCUCCACGCUGACCAGGGGCCCCCCGGAGUCACCCUGUAUGAAACCAAACCACACCGUAAAUAUGGAACCAUUAAGGCUUUAAGUAAAUCCCAAGAUUAGAAUGAAAUAAUUUGAAGUGCUCUCAGGCACAGUGAGCAGGGUGCAGCUGCACUGCUCUGACCCGGUGAUCCAUUUAUGAGACCACAGCAUGCAUCAAUAAACACACUUUGCUGCUGCCGCAUGUUCUAGUUUGUCCGUGUGAACCCAGAAGGAUCCAGGCGGCUGCGCAGCAUAUUAUUAAGUGUGGAAAUGUGAGUCAGUGUGCCGGAAUAAAAAAGUGCUGAGCCCACCUGGCACGCGUCCACGCCGCCCGUCAGGACCCCCACGCACAUCAUGCGCUGCGUCAGCUGGUCGGUCAGCAGUUGGUUGCAGAUGGUCUGGUUGAUCACCCGGAUUUCUGCUUUCUGCAAGAUGGCGGAUCCACUGCCUGCAAGGACCAGAAACUGUGGGACAUCAUUACAGCAUCCAAGAGCUGAAGGCAAGGCAACUCACAGAGCCAAGAUGGGACUUUGCUUCUAUGUCUUCAAGCAAUGGAAAAAUCCCUGGCAAACUGACCACAGCCACAGCUGCACUUCCCUCUUUAACUGCUUGUGGUAGGGAGAGGUGGGGGAAACCGGGCCAAGGUCUAAUGCUUACCUUUCAUCUUUGGGAGCUGGAAGAACUCAGCCUUAAAGCCAGGGAAUCUCCCCUCCUUGUUGGUAAUCAACGUGACGAGCAUAACGUUCUGGGAGGACAGGAAGGUCAGGUUGUAUGAAGGGGCAUAAUUCCCACAGAGCCUACAAAGGAAGGAACAGAAUCCUGUCAGGGAGCUGCAUAGUGAGCCUCAAGUAGCACAGAGGGACACAAGUUCCACCCAACACGAACCCCUCUCCUGCCACCCCAUGGAGGAGCACCAAACCCUGGGGACACUCACCUCACCAAAGCAUGGGGCUCCACAGGGCUCAGAGAGUCAUACACCUUGAUGUAGUCACUGCUGUCUGUGCACUGCUCCAAGUCCAACGUCUUGAAGGUCAGGCUGAUGAUGGAGUUGGCAUCUGCCCUCAGUGCCCAGUAGCAGCGCGCAUUGUUGGGGUAUGGGCUGUUGGGGAACCCCGGCGUGGUGAAACUGGUGAUCUCCCCUUCCUUGGCGUGGAGGGCAAAAAGGCAGCUAUCUGCCCAGGAGAAGAGCAAAGAGUUAUCGGGGCAAAUGAGGAGGAGGAGAGAUGUUUCUUGUGGGUGCAGGUAUACAGAGGACAGCAGAAGUGUUGGAGUUUUGCCUUCCUUGAGAAAGGCACUGCAGAAUAACAGCAAGUUCAGCCAACCCCAAACCAGCUCCGAGCAGCACAUGGAGAUCUGCCACAGGCAAAGCAGCUCCCUUCAGGCCCUUCCUCACCCCAGAAGGGAAACUGCCACCCUGCAGACACAUAGGGAUGCACAGAAGCCAUUACAAUGAGACUGAAGAACUGUACUUACUGUCCCGUGCAGUCUGAGCGAUGCUGGGGUCGGCAGCUGCAGGAAGAAAGAGAAACGCUCUCACCCUUUGAGCUGUGAAAAGCCCCUGCACACAAAGCUGAGGGCACCCAAAGAAGGGAUACACCUGGUAAAACACCAGAGCCUCCCCUCUCCUCCCCAACCCCACACAGAGAUGCAGCACUCACGGAAAGCAACGAUGGACUCCACCCUCAGCGUGGGGUUUCGCAGCCGUGGGUUCAGCCUCUGGACCAAGUUCUGCUUGUCUGCCAUGGCCCUGUCAAGGUUCUCCUCGCGGUACUUGGGGACGAUGAACUCUGACAAGUAGUAGGCAAUGACACUGCCUUCGCUGUGAGGAAGGGUGGUUAUGGGGCGAGGGCAAGGACAGCAAGGACAGACAUGGAAGGGCUGAUGUAUCAAAAGAGAGGGGGCCAGUCAAUUGAUAAGCCGUUUUGGAGGAUGACCAUAGGAAAGCUGAGCAAACUGAAGAUCAGCAAAGGCCCCAGUCAGUCUGUGAAGACCCUUUCCAGGCUGCCAGACAUCAGCUGCUGUGGUUUAUAGGGCUUACUGCACCUCCUAACACUCACCUGAAUGCAGUUAUUACUGUCUCCUUAUGGUAAGGGCCAAUAUCUGGAUGACUCCUGUAGAUAUCCUCAACCUAGAAGGAGUUUAAAAGAAGAAUGAUCAGCACAUCUUAAAGCGAGGAGAGUGGAAAGGACAAAGACAGACAGAGCUUCAAGCCUCUGGAGGAAAAUCAGAACGCAUAACCAGCAUCCUUGGAGUGCAGGAAUCUGCAGGGGCCAAAGAGCAGGAGAAGGAGAACUAAAAGGAGACAAGAGUCCAGACUCCUGCAGCCAGCCCCUGCCUCAAUCUCCAGCCCCAAAGCUUGCUCAGCUGUAGAGCUGCUUUCCCUCCCUGACCCUGCAUGCCAGGCCUGGGAUUUGCCUUGGCACACUAGACCACAGGGCAGGCAGACACCCUGGCAAUGGGCUGGAGCUGUGACAUCAAUUAAAAGUGAGUCACACGACUCGUGAUGAGCAGGAAGAGUUGAGAGAAGCGAGAAAGCUCCAAGUAGGAUCUUUAUGGCCACACAAGUGAAAUAAAAACCCAGCAGUAGGGAUCCAAGUAAAUGCUCACCGUGCUCUUCACCUUCUUAGCCAGCAUGAUGAAGUCUGCAGAGCUGGAAUUCUCAUAGGCAUCAAUGAACUCCCAGUUCAGAACUCGUAGGUGGCCAUUGAAGACUUUGUGCACGGGUGCGUUCCUGUCUGGAAGGUUAGUAGAAAGGUCACACGUGAGCAACACUUGGUAAUGAAGCUCUUCCAAAUCCACAAUAGCAGGGUUAUGUUCCCAGGGCCACCACCCCAUGUUAGCUUAACAUCACACUCACAUUUGAAGUGCCAAACCAGGAGGCCAAUGACCAGGGAGAUGAGCAGAAAAGCAAUGAUCAGAAUGGCCACAACUACCCUUCGCUUCGGGCCACGCUUCUCCAUCUUCUUGGAGUUCAUGGCAGGGAGGAACUCCACCCCUUCCUCCAGGUUGUUCAUCUCCUGUGAGGGGAGAGAAGGCAGGACAACAUUAAGGUCACUUCCCAAGCUUGGUUUGGAGAGAUCCAGCUGCAAAGCAGUCUGGCACCUACAGACACAGAGAUGCUUUUGGGCAUCACUGAGAGCACAACACACACCUUGGUGCCAGCAGCCCCACAGCCACCCCAAGCAGGAUCCUACAAAGACAGCAGUGCUAAUGUGUGCCUCCUCCUCACACCCCAAAAGGAAACGGAUGCUUCCUUCUGGGCCUAACCCAAGCUGUUUGAUCAACCACUGGGGCAGCCCAUGAUCAGCACAAUGGCUGUGGCAGGUCCCAAACCCAGAACCUCAGGGAUUGCUGCCUUCUGGUGGAUGAAAAAGCAAACAGAAAAUCACCUGCUAUGAGGCAGACGUGCCACCCCACAGGACACAGCACACUAUAAACAGAGCUCCUGAAACUGAAGGCAAACUACUUCCUCCCUGUACAUUCACACCACAAUACACAUUUGCUGGGCCAACACAACACUCCUACAUUCCUGCCCGGAUCUCUCACUCAGGACAAACACCUUAUAGAAGCAACACAACACAAGGACGAACAGCAAACAAAUCCCCCCAACCAGCAGCCUGUCCCUCAGGACAAAAUGUGCUGGCAGACAACCAGCAGGUCUCACCCAGGAGUGAAGAACAGCACACAACCAUCACACAACCAUCACCGCCCUGCACUGGGCUGGGCCAUGGAGGGGAAGGGCUCUGCCACAGCACACAGCUCUGCAUCAGCUCUGCACGCACAGGAUGAAAGCUCAGGGCAGGAAGCAGUGUCAGCAAGCCCUUGCUGCAUUGGGGUUUCACUUUCUUGCCCCAGCUCCUUGCCCUGCCCAUGUACCGACAGCAGCCCAGGCUUCAACCAGGGAGGGAAUCAACUUGAAAGAGAAAACCCACCUCCCAUCCCCUUGCUCUGCUGAUGAGACAAGCUUGCCCUGUGUGCCCGCUCAGUGUACAGAAAGGAGGAGGGAUGACCUCACGCUCUCCUUACGAAAGCUGGAGGGCGUAACCGAGAGCCAAGAGACACACCAGGAGUUUGGAAACAGACAGACAGAGGAACCUGCCUGGUGCCCACAGCAUGGGGAGAGCAGCCCUUGCUGGGCACACAGGAAGCUCAGCACAUCCUGCAGCUGACAGCAAGGACACAACAACCCAAAAUGCUGACCAGCACAAACCUGCUGCUUUCAAACACAUCGCUGUGCUAUGGAAGGGGAUACAGCCCAGAAGGCUCAGAAAGCCACAAGGACCAUCCCACUGCAACUGCUCUGCUGCUGGUUUAGCUUCCACCACCACACAGGGAACUUGAAAAUGCAAACCAAGCAAACUUUGUAAGAGAGAACACGCAAAGAGAACUGGAAUACAAAUAUAUGCCUCAAACCAAGAAAAUCCUCCAUCAAAAUCAAGACUUUGUGUCUGAUGAACCAUAUUCAAACACUCAAACAGCACCACUUGGCUCCCAGCAGUUCCCAAAGCAAACAAAUCAGCAUCUCCCCUUCCCCACUGCUGGACUGAUUGUACAGCCAACCCUUCCCAGGGCCUGGCCUCCAGGAUUACCAACAUGCUGCUGUUGUUAGCAAAAGGAAAGUAUUUAAUUCACUUCUAACAUCAGCAGGAGCCCAUGGCAAGAGAACAACCUCCAGGGCUUUAAUGAUGUUCACAUGGCAGCAGCUUCCCUGGGCUUCCCAGGAUCCAGAGAUAAAGAGGUUUCUGUCCCUGCCCUCUCUCUUAAGGUCUCAUCCCCUCCCAUGCUCACACCUCACAAACCUCAUUAUGUUUCCCAGCCUCCUCUGUCAUGCACGAAGAUGCUUUGAAAACCUGUUGCAGGUUGGGCAAGCACCGGUGAUUCCUGAGAAGUCCCUUGUCAAUACAAAGGAUCUGAAGCAUUCCCCAAGCACCACGAGAAUGUACCAGACCAUGCCAGGCAGAUCUCAGACAAGGCUCUGUCCCAACCCCUGAGUAAUCUUUCCUGCCCACACUCAGCACAGAAAGCACCUAUUUGACCUUAGUACCAGAUACGUCUGUGUCCGAAUGGCACAGCUCAGCUCUGCUCCACGCUCACUGUGCUGCACAUCCCCUUCACCAAGCAGAAACCAGAUGGAACCAAGAGCAAGAAAGAGCCAAAAGAUCACAGUAAAACCAAGAGAAUGAUGAUUGCUUUUAAAUCUCCUUUAGCUGACCAUUGCUGUGCAUUUCCCUUGCCCACACCAACCAUUCCCUUCACCACAACAGCUUGGCAGAUAUAAAUCAGAGGCGAUGUGAACGCACGUCCCGCUCUCACCUUGUUCAUGAUGCCCCAGGAGACGCUGGUCUCAGCCCUCUCAAGGAAAUGACUUCUCUAAACCUUAACAGAAAAUCCUUCCUUGAUAUUCUCCCCGCGUUAGUCACAGGUUCAGUUACUUCCUCUUGCUCCUCCUCACUCUGGGCCUCGCUCACUGCGUUGCUCUCUGUAGGCACGGAGGUUUCUGACUGGUGCUGCUGCCAUGUAGUGUCUUGGGAGGAAAGUCACGUGCCAAGAGAGUGAAAGGGUCAGAGAGGUGUGUGUCGCUGAUGAGGAGGCAGGACGUGCACACAGGAGCAGCUUAUCCUGAGCUGUAACACCAGGACAUGGAGAGAAGUCUGCUUUCUCUGCAGCUCACUGCUGAAAAGCCUCCAGGUGACAAGAAGGGGCUGUUUGUACAGCAGCACGAGCCUGGGCUUCCUCAGAACAUCCUUAGGGAUGUUUAAUAAUCCCAGUCUUUUUCUGAUGGGGCAGAGCAAGCAACAGCCCAAACUGCCCCCCAAAAAAGACCUAAAAAGCCCUCAACCAACCAGCAGGUGAAUCUUUAACUGUUCAGAGUGCUGGGCUGCAGCAUGGGGAGCUGCAGCAUCCAGUGCCACCUUCGGUUCCUCCUGGAGCACAGACUGAGGAGCAUCAGGAGAGGAGAGCACAGAGAUUUGUACUGCGAGGUCUCCCCAUUGACGGACUCCCAGUACGUCAGCAAACCUUCCCACUCCUCACUAAAACAGCUACGUAACUUAUUUUUAGACAGUGACCGUAAUCGGCCCGACUGGACAAACCAGAAGAUGCAGGAGUGACUAAUUCUGUCAGCAGGAAAUGCAGCAGGGACAAGGGGAGGGUGGGAGCUGCCACGGCAGACUCAGGACUGGAGAUGCUUUACUGGAAAGCAGAGAUUCAUUGCAGCAGGGGCUCCCAGGAAGGUCGGGAGGUGGCUCUUCCCAGCAAGAGGAGCUGUGGGAUGUUUACAAAGGGCAGGCCAACGUGGGAUCUGCAUUACCCCUCCUGGAUGGUUUCAUGCUGGCUGAUAGUGCUGGCAGGGCAGCUCAGCACAGCCCACACACCAACAGCCCCCGCUGCUCUGCACCCCUCCCAGCCACGUCCUCUGACCCGCUGGCCAUGUCUGCCCCAUUGGACUCUGCCCCACACAACUGCUGGGCUCUUGGCCGUGAGUUUCACCUGUCUCUUAUCAACGAUAGUUAAUUUGUUUGCCCAGCACAACACAGAUAUGGGAUUCAACUGCUUCCCUUGGCUGCUACCACAUUCCAGCCCCAUCUCCUCUGCCAUGGAUCCACACAGGAGCAAACAGCAGGUGUGUGACCAACACAGCAUCACCCAGCUCUGCUGGCAGCUCUGCACAGCCCCUUUCCUUCCCUCUGCUCCAUCCCUGCACUAAGGCUCCCUGUCUGACACCAAGGCAGGAAGAUGCAGUGCAAAGUCAGAGGGGAUGUGGGAGAGGUCCCCUGAGAUGAAGGAGGGACAUCAGAUCAUUACCGGACCCUUGCCAAGUCAUCACACUCUUCAGAUCCCAGCCCCCAUAGCCAAGAGGCAGUUCUCACCUCCCCUUUGCCAGCCACACCUGCUCAAUAAAAUCCAAACCAAUUCUCACAUGAGCAGCACAGUAAAUACAAGAGGGACGACAGCCACCAGCCACUUGAGCCAUAUCAGCUACACAACUUGUGACCAACUCCUGCACCAACCCCUGCUGAGAACCCCAGCGCUGCUCCAGAAAGAAAACCUGCACGGAUCAUUCUCAUGCAAACUCCUGAUAACAACAAUAUAUGGAAAUAGACGACAUACAAGCUAAGUUUCAUUAAGGCACAUUCACAUUGCAUUCCCCCAGUAUUGGCAGUAAAGCACUGUCGAAACUUUAUCAGUGCUUUAUUUUCCUCCAGUAGUUCCUUAUUAAGGGCAAUUGCGCUAUAAAACGAUGGCGUCUGAACCAAGAAGGGAAUAAGGGGCAGAAUCCUCCAGACCGUCCAACUUCCAGGCAGAGAGGGCAAGUUUAACAGUGAGAGAUACCUGUCACACAGCAAUUCCAAACACGGGCCUUUAUAGCAUUCGAUUGCCUUGUGACCGCCCUGAGUCACAGAGAAACCGAAUUCCCUUGGGUUAAUGGCAGAAGAAACUCAGUUAAUGUUUGCACAGGACAGCACGGGCUUGGCUCGCUACCCUGCAUCAGCCUUAUCAGCACAGCUGUGUCAUGCAACGCGCGGCUCGGAGGAGUGACCACAUCUAUUUGUGUUUCUGCUGGAGCAGAUUCUUUUCCAUGUAUGACUGUCAGCCUUGGGCAGAGCUGGGAAUUGAAGUCAUCUCAGAGGCCUGACGGAUAGUUCUGAGUCUUGUAGUUCCUCCCCUAUUUCCAAAGCCCAGAAGAGAAGCAUUCCACAGCUGUAAAUAGCUGAUUUAAACCUGCCUGGUGCACAGCACUGUCUGAACAACAAGAACACCCCCAGCUCUGCUCCAGACCUCAGUGAAGCAUCCUAAGCUCAUCAUUAUGUUUCGCCCACAGUCUUUACUGGCUCUUCCAGUCCUUGAGGUGGAGCUGGGCCAAGAUAUUUCAGUACUUGGGGUCAGCAGCAGGGGAAAUACCAGAACCUCCAACCAAGCAAAGCCUUCUAUCAGCAAAUCCACCCUUUCUCAGCCGCUGCAGUAACUUCUCUCUCUUCCGUGUGAGCCCAUUGCCCAGAUAUCACAGCACGGCUCCUGUAAGGUGAGACUGCAAGGCUGGUUGGAAAUGGUGAGGUGAGAACCUUUGGUCCCAUACGUUCCCCAGUCCGGCCCUCAAUACCGCUCUCCCUGUUCCCUCAAUAGUUUUACAGUGAUCUUUUGUUUACAGAGCAAAGGUCUUCCGCACUCUCGAUCAACCUCAGCCUCUUUCUCUCUGUACUUUCCUUAUCCGUUUUUGCCUUUGGCAAGAAGAGCAGCAGAACUGGCCCCAGCAGCAGCAGCAGCUCACCCAGCAGCCACCGGCACUGCACCUUUCUAAGGAUGAGGAUUAGCUUCCCCAUGCACUGCACCCACGGGCUGCAAAUCUCACAGCACAAAGCACAGUCGUUGCACAACACUCCCGUGUGCCCCACCGCCAUGUUUGCAGGUCCACCAAGCCCAGCAGCAGUCAAACCACCAGAAACAAACCCCUCAAAGUGUCCAUCUGCAAGGAGAGACCUCGCAGUGCACGUCAGCUCUUGUGCUCAGACUGCAGGGAAGGACAUGGCACGUCCCUGAUCCUGGCAGCAUGAGCGGGUUGGUUCGAGCAUCCAGCCCUGAUGUGCAGAUGUACAAAACCCACAGCUGCCAAACGACCACUCAGAUUGGAAAAGACCUCUGAGACCCCCAACCUCAACCCCAUCCCCUACAUCCCUCUAGUGCCACAUCCCCAUAGGGAUGCUGACCCCCCCGGACAGCUGAGCAGUGCAGCACCGCUCACUGGGGAUGAAGCUGCUCCUAAUAUCCAACCUGCACUUCCCCUGGCACAACCUGAGCCCAUCAGCUCUCACCCUGUCCCAGCACAGCAGCAAUGAUCCCUAAUACCCUUUUUCCUGUAGAACAACCGCUUGGCACAAGCCUUCAUGGGGACAGAGGACCUCACCCAUCCCACUGCAGACUCUCCCUGCGCUGUGUUGCACACUCAGGGCUGGAAGCAGGGUGACCUGUUUCUCUUGCUGUGGGUCAGCUUCCUCCUCAGCGCUCCAGCAACCAGCCACCAGGUGACAGGUCCAAAACACCAAGCAGGGGGCAAGAAAACGCGCAGCUCACCGCUGCUUGGCUUUAAAAACACGCAGGUAACCCAAAGCUUAAUGAGCAAAGCCGCACAGCUCUCGCGGCCGUCGGAGCGAACGACGAAGCUCAGCAACCCGAACCCAGCAGCGCAACUCCGCGCUCCCACCUAUGUCACCGUGGAGCACUUUAAGCUGAAAAUCACAACAAUUCAUUCCCCUCCGUUGCUGCCGCAGCCCCGCCGUGCUCACCUGCAGCCUGGCCGUGUACUUCAUGCCGCCGCCGGGCACCGUGCUGCCCCGCUCCAUCCCCAGCGCCGCCGGCUCAGGCCGCCAUAGCGCGGCGCAACGCGGUCCCUCCUCCGGUCCAGCCCCUCCGGCAGGUGCGGGACGGGAAGCAGGAAGCGGCCCGGGAGCCGAGCGGGUCGGGGAAGGGGUGAAAGGAGCGGCUGGGGGUGCGGGUUGGUGCCGGGUGUGCGCCCCGUCGGGCCGAUGGAGUCGCCGGCAACGAUGCGUCCUGGGGUGAAGCGCGAUGAGGUGACAACAGCCGGACUGUAGGAACCUGGGCUGCACCACGGACCCGCCCGAGCACAACGUGUCCUUAAGGGCACCCUCUGUGCCCCCAUUCAGAUCACUGAGAUAGCAGCAAAGUUCCUCUGUCCAUCUGGUAGCCAAACCCUGAUGCCUCCAACACACGGACCCCAGCUCAGGUACCUCCAACCAGCAGCACGUCUCCUCUGUCCAACACAUACCCCGACACAGAUCCCUCAAGUAACAACGCAGCUCCUCUGUCCAGCCAGAACCUUCACUCACAUCCAUGGACAGCCAUGAUCUGUCCAUCAUGUACCCAACCCUGACUCCUCAAAUAGCACUGCAGCCUUUCCAUCCCUCCUGUACCCAUAUUUGGAUCCCUCAAGUAACAGCACAGAUGGCCCUUAAAGUCUCUUCAAUUAAUCAUCCUCCAGCCAGAGGGAAACAGAUGCAAAAUGACACAAGACACAGCAGAAACCACACUAUAUCCACAUUGCACACUGCAAGAUUCGGGCAGUGCAUCACAGGGAUCUACACUCCUAACACAGUUUUACCCCAUCAUUCCCCUCUUCCUGGGAAGAUGCCCCUAAUGACAGUAAUUUCUAGGGUUCCUACAUUCAACAUCACACACCACCACCUUCCUUGAAAUAGUUCUUUCCUUCUCCACGUUACAUGUCACAGUCUAUGCCUCCAGGCAAUGCACCCCUCCAAAAGCCACAUUCUGAGCAGGUCUUCCUUUAAAUCAACUGCCUCCAGCCCUGAAACUGAACUCUUUCCAUACCUGAACACUCCCACCUCUCUGCUUUGCUGUAACAGAAGCUGAUUCACAGCGCCGCAGGGAGAUGUGAGCUGGGUUACCUUUGUUUGCCCUUGCUCUAAAAUGGCCCCUGCAGAGCGUGAGCUUCCUGUCCCUUUUGCAGGUGUCUCCCUGGGGAUAAAGAGAUGAUGUUUGCUCUCUGAACCUGCUGUUUUCUCCCUGGGUGAAAUACUUAACCCCUUUGCUCCUAUAGAGAUGCUCCUGCUACUGCUUUCCUGGCUCCCUGGUCAGCUACCGGAAUCACAUUGAGCACCACAGGGCAGGAACUAUCUCCAGAUUUAAGGUAUCCCCAUUCAAAAGGUGGCUUUGUUAGUCAGCCCGAUGAAACCACACGGCUGGCUGAUGUCAGGAGCUGCUCUGAGCUCUCUCUUGAUGCCCAGCCCUUCCCAGCACUCCAGUUUUACAGCCUUUCCCUCCCUGGUUGACUGCAGCUGCUCCAAUCUGAUUUAAACCCCAGUAAAACAGCGUGUGUACAAAACAGCUACUCCAAGCUGAACCACUGCUCUUUGUCUCUGCAAAUUCAUCCUCCUUUCCUGCAUAUCAAUUCAUCUCCUCCAGGCAGGUGCCAAGAAAAUGCUGUGCUCUGGGAUGUGGCUAAUGAGGGCAGUCUCACUCUUUGAGACCCAAAGUGUCCCUUGCAAAGAUCCACAGCUCUUGGGUUCACGCAGAGCUGCAAAUGCUCAGUGCUUCCCGUCAUUCAAGCCACUGUCAUUGAAUUCAUUAGCCCAGUUGGCUCUUUGAAAAAGGAGAUACAAUCAUUGCUGGGAAAACAAGAAAGCAAUCCAUGUGCUGAAUAUAAAACAUUACGUAGCUGGAAGGCAGUCAGUUCACAGCCUUAAAUGAUAGGAUUCCCUUUUCUUUGCUGCCAGAGCAUGGUGAUUUACUUAGUGGCUGUUGCAAUAAUGGCUAAGUUGCCACGGUAAGAUGAUGUCCCGCUCCUUCUGACCACUGUACAGACCCAAAACAUCAAAGCACCAUUCUCAAUAAGCAUACAACACGUGCUUUUGCACCAGCAAACGUGCCACGUGUCUCUCUGGUCUGACUGAAGGAUGCUGAACUCAGCAAGUCCAUCUCCACUAUUAAGAAAGAUGUAAUUAAA